CAGUUUCCUUCUCUGCACAAAACCAAACCACAAAUCAUUUCUUCCUUUCUAAAUACCAAGACACCGCCCACCGUUUCAUUUCCUUCUCUGCACACUCCACCGAAACCACUGCAAUUUCUCUCCUCAACCAUACCAUACCUCUUCCUCUGCAUUCGACCAAGAGCAUCCGAGAGGGAGAGCCACUUGGUGAGCUUCAUCCGAGAGCUAGGAGGAGGGAAAGUGAACUGCCAGAAAUUUCUCUGGUCCUGCCGUGAGUUGGAGUGAAGCCGGGGAGGAGAUCUGCAGGAAGCUUCACCAUUUUUCAUCUUCAUCUCCACCAACUACAACCAACCGAACACAAAUCUACCAGCUACACUCAAUUCCAGCCGCAACAUAGGAAACAAGAACCACCGACUGCACUUGGCCGAGAGUUAGGGAAGAAAUUUCUGGAAAAUUUUCGUGUGAAAGUUUAGCUGCUAUCUGAGGAUAUUUCGAGGACGCGGAAUUCGAUUCCCAACUUGAUAUCUGAACUCCACUCUUGGAUGGGAAGUUUGAAAGCAUUUGAGCAGCUUAUAUUUCCUAUGAAUGUACUUGAACAACUUGAAUUUAAAUUUCGGUUUGUAAUGAAUUCUUCGUUAAGCACUGUACCUUUUAUUUUUGGUUGCCACUUGAAGCUGGAAAAGUGUAACUCUAAGUCUGGUAUCCGGCUUGUAUGAACGUAUUUGUGUGGUAUGGCUUUAAUCCUUGUAAGUAACGCACGAAGUGUUUAAGAGCCGUCGAUUGGCUAUCUUAUAAAUGUUGUUAUCUUUGAAGUUAAAUGAGGAUUUAGUUUAUUCUUCGGAA
Molecule: non-coding RNA, 822 nt
Organism: Coffea arabica (coffee)
Lineage: Eukaryota; Viridiplantae; Streptophyta; Magnoliopsida; Gentianales; Rubiaceae
Source: RefSeq, a predicted model, not a curated record